Molecule: ribosomal RNA, 233 nt
Filed under: Pelagobia sp. t GK-2022
Lineage: Eukaryota; Metazoa; Annelida; Polychaeta; Phyllodocida; Phyllodocidae
Description: partial large subunit ribosomal RNA
Rfam family: Eukaryotic large subunit ribosomal RNA
Source: RNAcentral
GAAUUUAAGCAUAUCACUAAGCGGAGGAAAAGAAACUAACAUGGAUUCCCGUAGUAACGGCGAGUGAAGUGGGAAGAGCUCAGCACCGAAUCUCCUGCCUAUGAGGUAGCGGGACCUGUGGUGUUUAGGACAGCCUCUGGGGCUUCGUUGUCGCGUCCGAGUCCUCCUGAUCGGGGCCUUUCCCAUAGCGGGUGUCAGGCCUCUACUGGCGCGCGGCGGUGUCCCUCUGAGCG